This 250-nucleotide ribosomal RNA is filed under the name uncultured bacterium. Its description in RNAcentral is "partial 16S ribosomal RNA". It matches the Rfam family "Bacterial small subunit ribosomal RNA", at positions 524 to 773 of the family's 1533-position model. The record is from RNAcentral.
UACGUAGGGUGCGAGCGUUAAUCGGAAUUACUGGGCGUAAAGCGUGCGCAGGCGGUGGGUCAAGUCUGAUGUGAAAGCCCCGGGCUCAACCUGGGAACGGCAUUGGAAACUGGCCUGCUAGAGUGUGGCAGAGGGGGGUGGAAUUCCGCGUGUAGCAGUGAAAUGCGUAGAGAUGCGGAGGAACACCGAUGGCGAAGGCAGCCCCCUGGGCCAACACUGACGCUCAGGCACGAAAGCGUGGGGAGCAAAC